This 253-nucleotide ribosomal RNA is filed under the name uncultured bacterium. Its description in RNAcentral is "partial 16S ribosomal RNA". It matches the Rfam family "Bacterial small subunit ribosomal RNA", at positions 524 to 776 of the family's 1533-position model. The record is from RNAcentral.
UACGUAGGUGGCAAGCGUUGUCCGGAUUUACUGGGCGUAAAGAGCGCGCAGGCGGUCGUUCAAGUCGCGUGUGAAAGCCCCCGGCUCAACUGGGGAGGGUCACGCGAUACUGAUCGACUCGAAGGCAGGAGAGGGUAGUGGAAUUCCCGGUGUAGUGGUGAAAUGCGUAGAUAUCGGGAGGAACACCUAUUGCGAAGGCAGCUCGCUGGGACGUAACUGACGCUGAGACGCGAAAGCGUGGGGAGCAAACAGG